CAGCAUUCUCAGGGCGGGGUGGAAGUCCCCACCGGCGGUAAGCAGUGUGCUGCAAGCCCGCGAGCGCCUUCCAUUCGGAAGGGUCAAGCAGAUCAGGUGAGAAUCCUGAGCCGACGGUCAAAGUCCGGAUGAAAGAGAAACUGC
This 144-nucleotide non-coding RNA is filed under the name Roseibium album. RNAcentral describes it as "Labrenzia alba FMN sequence". It matches the Rfam family "FMN riboswitch aptamer (RFN element)". Rfam says of the family: The RFN element is a highly conserved domain that is found frequently in the 5'-untranslated regions of prokaryotic mRNAs that encode for flavin mononucleotide (FMN) biosynthesis and transport proteins. This element is a metabolite-dependent riboswitch that directly binds FMN in the absence of proteins. In Bacillus subtilis, the riboswitch most likely controls gene expression by causing premature transcription termination within the 5' untranslated region of the ribDEAHT operon and precluding access to the ribosome-binding site of ypaA mRNA. The record is from Rfam by way of RNAcentral. Lineage: Bacteria; Pseudomonadati; Pseudomonadota; Alphaproteobacteria; Hyphomicrobiales; Stappiaceae.